This 119-nucleotide transfer-messenger RNA is filed under the name Rhodospirillales bacterium. Its description in RNAcentral is "partial transfer-messenger RNA". It matches the Rfam family "Alphaproteobacteria transfer-messenger RNA", at positions 195 to 355 of the family's 355-position model. Rfam says of the family: Bacterial tmRNA, also known as 10Sa RNA or SsrA, is named for its dual tRNA and mRNA-like properties. Its role is to liberate the mRNA from a stalled ribosome. To accomplish this part of the tmRNA is used as a reading frame that ends in a translation stop signal. The record is from RNAcentral. Lineage: Bacteria; Pseudomonadati; Pseudomonadota; Alphaproteobacteria; Rhodospirillales.
GGCAUGGUACCGCCGUUAUCGGGCCAAACCUAGAAAUGCCAACGAUAACGAGGCAUUUGCAGUAGCCGCUUAAGGCUACGCGGGGUUCGGGGGGCACCUUGCAACAGAAGCCCCCCACU